Molecule: transfer RNA, 1096 nt
Filed under: Arabidopsis thaliana (thale cress)
Lineage: Eukaryota; Viridiplantae; Streptophyta; Magnoliopsida; Brassicales; Brassicaceae
Description: ATSL057440
Rfam family: tRNA (bases 312-396)
Source: RNAcentral
GGCAUGACUAGAAAUCAUGUGGGUUUUGCCCGCGCAGGUUCGAAUCCUGCCGUUCACGUUUUUAUUUUGAGUGUUGGUAAGUUCUUAUAAUUACUUAUUGUGUUUUAUGGAUCGUCUUUGAAUUUGAACGGUUUUCCAUCAUGUUACCGUUUUCAGUAAAAUUUAGUAUUGAUAAAAAACCUCUAAAAAAAACAAGAUAGCAUGAAAGAUAUGAAGUCAACUUUCUUUCUACUCCUCUUCUUGAUAAGUUUAAAUUUGAUUAAAAAGCUCUUCUUGAAUCAUCAACAUGCAUAAAGUGUUAUAAUACAAAACCGACCUUAGCUCAGUUGGUAGAGCGGAGGACUGUAGUUGACGCAGAUUAUCCUUAGGUCACUGGUUCGAAUCCGGUAGGUCGGAUCAUAAAAGUUUAAAGUUUUUUUUAGUUCAUUUCGUUUCAAAGUGAUUAGAGAAGAGUAUAACUACAAACUCGUUUUUCUAUGAGAAUUUGUUUUAGAGAAUUGCAUAGCUACUGACUGUAUUAUCAGAAAAGAGUGGGAACUCUCGAAGUAAUUUUCACUGUAUUUUAAACCGUUCAAGGGUAAACCCUCAUUUUCUUAUAUUUACGAGAUUUAUGCAAGUAUUUUUCUAAUAUAAUGUUUUUAUAAAUUCAAACUUUGUUUUCAAACUUUUAAUAGAGAAUCACUAUGAGUAUGCUAACUUAAUACAAAUCAUUGUGUUCAUAGAAUAUUUAGAUCAGUACACAUGCAUGAAAUAGAAUACAAUCCGACCUUAGCUCAGUUGGUAGAGCGGAGGACUGUAGUAGACGUAGAUUAUCCUUAGGUCACUGGUUCGAAUCCGGUAGGUCGGAAUUUGCUCCCACAGGAGAGCUUUUUAUUUUUCUUUUGUUGUGACAUUAAAGUUUUUAAAAUUUUAUAAUAAACGGUUAUAUGGUGGUCGACAAUUAAACAUACCAAAAAGUUUAGCUCGAAUUCUUCAACGAUCCGUAUGUUUAUCUUUUUCAAUAUUGAUACGAUGAAAAAUGAUUUAAAAGUGACUAAAAACUAUGAGUUUUCUAAUUUUCUUUGGUCAAACAAACAUUUAGUUUUAGAGUUUUAAA